UGCAAGUCGAACGAGUUCUCGUUGAUGAUCGGUGCUUGCACCGAGAUUCAACAUGGAACGAGUGGCGGACGGGUGAGUAACACGUGGGUAACCUGCCCUUAAGUGGGGGAUAACAUUUGGAAACAGAUGCUAAUACCGCAUAGAUCCAAGAACCGCAUGGUUCUUGGCUGAAAGAUGGCGUAAGCUAUCGCUUUUGGAUGGACCCGCGGCGUAUUAGCUAGUUGGUGAGGUAAUGGCUCACCAAGGCGAUGAUACGUAGCCGAACUGAGAGGUUGAUCGGCCACAUUGGGACUGAGACACGGCCCAAACUCCUACGGGAGGCAGCAGUAGGGAAUCUUCCACAAUGGACGCAAGUCUGAUGGAGCAACGCCGCGUGAGUGAAGAAGGCUUUCGGGUCGUAAAACUCUGUUGUUGGAGAAGAAUGGUCGGCAGAGUAACUGUUGUCGGCGUGACGGUAUCCAACCAGAAAGCCACGGCUAACUACGUGCCAGCAGCCGCGGUAAUACGUAGGUGGCAAGCGUUAUCCGGAUUUAUUGGGCGUAAAGCGAGCGCAGGCGGUUUUUUAAGUCUGAUGUGAAAGCCCUCGGCUUAACCGAGGAAGCGCAUCGGAAACUGGGAAACUUGAGUGCAGAAGAGGACAGUGGAACUCCAUGUGUAGCGGUGAAAUGCGUAGAUAUAUGGAAGAACACCAGUGGCGAAGGCGGCUGUCUGGUCUGUAACUGACGCUGAGGCUCGAAAGCAUGGGUAGCGAACAGGAUUAGAUACCCUGGUAGUCCAUGCCGUAAACGAUGAAUGCUAGGUGUUGGA
This 807-nucleotide ribosomal RNA is filed under the name Lacticaseibacillus paracasei. Its description in RNAcentral is "bacterial SSU rRNA". It matches the Rfam family "Bacterial small subunit ribosomal RNA", at positions 56 to 827 of the family's 1533-position model. The record is from RNAcentral. Lineage: Bacteria; Bacillati; Bacillota; Bacilli; Lactobacillales; Lactobacillaceae.